Molecule: ribosomal RNA, 481 nt
Filed under: uncultured bacterium
Lineage: Bacteria
Description: partial 16S ribosomal RNA
Rfam family: Bacterial small subunit ribosomal RNA
Source: RNAcentral
UUGAACGCUGGCGGCAUGCUUUACACAUGCAAGUCGAACGGUAACAGGCCGCAAGGUGCUGACGAGUGGCGAACGGGUGAGUAAUGCAUCGGAACGUGCCCAGUCGUGGGGGAUAACUACUCGAAAGAGUAGCUAAUACCGCAUACGAUCUAUGGAUGAAAGCGGGGGACCGUAAGGCCUCGCGCGAUUGGAGCGGCCGAUGUCAGAUUAGGUAGUUGGUGGGGUAAAGGCUCACCAAGCCAACGAUCUGUAGCUGGUCUGAGAGGACGACCAGCCACACUGGGACUGAGACACGGCCCAGACUCCUACGGGAGGCAGCAGUGGGGAAUUUUGGACAAUGGGCGCAAGCCUGAUCCAGCAAUGCCGCGUGCAGGAAGAAGGCCUUCGGGUUGUAAACUGCUUUUGUACGGAACGAAACGGCUCUGGUUAAUACCCGGAGCUAAUGACGGUACCGUAAGAAUAAGCACCGGCUAACUACGUG